CUGGAGAGAGCAAGGGAUCACUAACACCUGAGACGGACUACAGACCAGCACGUGCCAGAGGUGGAAGUCCAAGUUAAACGCAAAAGGACCACCUCCUGAGAACCAAGAAUGUCAGUUAUACCCGAGGCUUCUCAGCAGCAGCAAGCACCUGUGGUGAAUUUCCAGGCUGAACUGAGACAAGCAUUCUUAACUGAGACAUCAAGAAGUGGUUAA
This 213-nucleotide long non-coding RNA is filed under the name Homo sapiens (human). RNAcentral describes it as "non-protein coding lnc-SLC25A14-1:1". Lineage: Eukaryota; Metazoa; Chordata; Mammalia; Primates; Hominidae. The record is from RNAcentral.